CACGUAGGGGCCAAGCGUUGUCCGGAUUUAUUGGGCGUAAAGAGCUCGUAGGCGGUUCGACAAGUCGGGUGUGAAAACUCCGGGCUCAACCCGGAGACGCCACCCGAUACUGUCGUGACUGGAGUCCGGUAGGGGAGUGGGGAAUUCCUGGUGUAGCGGUGAAAUGCGCAGAUAUCUGGAGGAACACCGGUGGCGAAGGCGGCAUCCUGGACCGGUAUUGACGCUGAUGCGCGAAAGCCAGGGGAGCAAACGGG
Molecule: ribosomal RNA, 254 nt
Filed under: uncultured bacterium
Lineage: Bacteria
Description: partial 16S ribosomal RNA
Rfam family: Bacterial small subunit ribosomal RNA
Source: RNAcentral